This 78-nucleotide transfer RNA is filed under the name Burkholderia sp. RNAcentral describes it as "tRNA-Pro". It matches the Rfam family "tRNA". From Rfam's summary of the family: Transfer RNA (tRNA) molecules are approximately 80 nucleotides in length. Their secondary structure includes four short double-helical elements and three loops (D, anti-codon, and T loops). Further hydrogen bonds mediate the characteristic L-shaped molecular structure. tRNAs have two regions of fundamental functional importance: the anti-codon, which is responsible for specific mRNA codon recognition, and the 3' end, to which the tRNAs corresponding amino acid is attached (by aminoacyl-tRNA synthetases). tRNAs cope with the degeneracy of the genetic code in two manners: having more than one tRNA (with a specific anti-codon) for a particular amino acid; and 'wobble' base-pairing, i.e. permitting non-standard base-pairing at the 3rd anti-codon position. The record is from RNAcentral. Lineage: Bacteria; Pseudomonadati; Pseudomonadota; Betaproteobacteria; Burkholderiales; Burkholderiaceae.
CGGGGCGUGGCGUAGCUUGGUAGCGUAUCUGCAUGGGGGGGUUACAGGUGGUCGGAGGUUCAAAUCCUCUCAUCCCGA